This 679-nucleotide unclassified non-coding RNA is filed under the name Hevea brasiliensis (rubber tree). The record is from RNAcentral. Lineage: Eukaryota; Viridiplantae; Streptophyta; Magnoliopsida; Malpighiales; Euphorbiaceae.
UGCAGAUCAAUUCCUCAUUGCAUCUCACACAAACACAAGACAGCAUCCUCUCAGAAUCAAAGCACAAAAUAUCAACCAAAUCUCAGGACACAGUUAAACCUUACCCAAUCACAACUACACAGACCCCUAAACAAAACAACUCGCACUUCCCACAUCACAGCAAAGGACUCGACUCCUCAAGCGAUCUUGACCUCAAUACUCUUCGGCUUCUUUGGCUCCGGCGGCGGCAGCUUCUGGACAGUGACAGUAAGCACCCCAUCCUUGCACACCGCCGAAAUCGCUUCCGUAUUUGCGUUCUCCGGCAGCGUAAACUUCCGCAUCAGCUUCCCCAUCCGGCGCUCCAUCUUCAGGUACUUUCCCUCCUCGUUGUCCUUCCGCUUCCGCUCGCCACUUAUUAUCAGCACGUUGUCGUCCUCCACUUGAACCUUCAUCUCGCCGGAUCCAACGCCGGGCAUAUCAACAACAAAGACGUAGGCGGCGGGGAGUUCCUUGACGUCGGCGGGGGUGGAGGCCAUGGCGCGGGCGUCGCGGACGUAGGCGCGGCUCGGGCCGUUGAGGGACUUGUCGGUCUCAUUGGGGACCUCCAUCAGAUGGUGGAGGGCCGCCAGCAAGGGGUGAUCAAGUCCGAUGAUCCUGGAAUCCAUGGCUCGGAUUGAAAUGUUUAGCGAUUGGUUUGGAA